Molecule: long non-coding RNA, 1007 nt
Organism: Pezoporus occidentalis (night parrot)
Lineage: Eukaryota; Metazoa; Chordata; Aves; Psittaciformes; Psittacidae
Exons: 5
Source: RefSeq, a predicted model, not a curated record
GAAAUAUCAUUAAAACAAAUCUGAAACAUAAUGUCUUUCUGAUCCCACGUCUCUUUAUUAUUUAUGCCAUGUUUUUUUUUUCUUGUCAUCCUUUAUUUGAGCACUGAGAAGACAUCACCCCCACUACUACCACCUGGAAGCAGUAAUGGUUUCAUCUGCUGAGCUAACCUAGCCCUGCCAGAGAAGCAUUUGUGCUAUUGCUUACAAGUUAGCCACAAUACCCAUGGUGUUUUGUUUCCAUCAAGGUAUAGGAUUAGUUUGCUGUGCAAGUUGCAUUUAAUGAUAUGUCCUCUUUCUUGUACUCACAGAAGCACAUAUAAUUGAGGUCAUAAAUGAGGAAAACAUUGUCCUAAUUUUUUUUAUUAUCAUUUUUUCUUCUUUUUUUUUUUCUUUCUUUCAUGGAAUCUUAAGGAUGUUCUGCACCUGCAAAGCUGAGUGGGUAUGGUUUGCCAUUCCUUUUGUCAUUUACAAAAUCUGUUCUUAGGUACUGUGGAUAAUUUUGCCAAAUUCCUUAUGUUUGUUGUAGUUCAUUUCACUGUGCAUAAUGCUUUCCUGAUGUAGUGAUAUGAACUGAAGUUGCCUGAAUGAAAACUCAUCAUGCUUUGGAAGUCACUUUUUGAGUAUAACCUCCUGUGAAAUCCUGUGAGAAUGUUUGAAAAUAUUUACAUCAGCAAGAAAAAAUGUUCAUCAAAUGAGGCCUUAUUCUGGGACAACAGGGAAAAUGGAGUAAUUUUUAUUCAUUUUACCACUACAGCUUGGUGUUGGGCUUAUGGAUUAGACCAUUGGGGACUACAAGCAUUGCUGCUAUGUUCUGGCUGUGACUACUCAGAACAAGGGUGCUACAGCUUUAUUAUGUACUGGAAAGAAGCAUCUGCAUUGAAUGGACACUUUGCAACUAUGUAGUUCCUCCUGCCUUCCAGAGAGAAAUGUACUGAGUUUUACCUGCUGCCAUCUCUGUUGUACUGCUACCAUAAAUCAUGCUACUCAGACAGGUUAGCAACAGAUAG